GCAAUAUCUCUUAAAGACAAAGUACACAGUUUAAGAAAUACAACAUUUCAUUCUAAAACUUGUAAUAUUUGCAUUUUCCCAUAACACCCUCUCCAUUAAACUGUGGGCAUUGUAGCGCAUUUCUUCCUUAAAUUAGUAAACCAAAGUUCUCCAACAGUCUUUAGUUUUUUUUGUGCUCCCAGCAUCUUUGAUCAUUGUUGUAACAGU
Molecule: non-coding RNA, 207 nt
Organism: Pelobates cultripes (western spadefoot toad)
Lineage: Eukaryota; Metazoa; Chordata; Amphibia; Anura; Pelobatidae
Source: the annotation of a GenBank genome assembly